CCUACGGGGGGCUGCAGUGGGGAAUAUUGGACAAUGGGGGCAACCCUGAUCCAGCCAUGCUGCGUGUGUGAAGAAGGCCCUCGGGUUGUAAAGCACUUUCAGUGAGGAAGAACGCCUGGUGGUUAAUACCCAUCAGGAAAGACAUCACUCACAGAAGAAGCACCGGCUAACUCCGUGCCAGCAGCCGCGGUAAUACGGAGGGUGCGAGCGUUAAUCGGAAUUACUGGGCGUAAAGCGCGCGUAGGUGGCUUGAUAAGCCGGUUGUGAAAGCCCCGGGCUCAACCUGGGAACGGCAUCCGGAACUGUCAAGCUAGAGUGCAGGAGAGGAAGGUAGAAUUCCCGGUGUAGCGGUGAAAUGCGUAGAGAUCGGGAGGAAUACCAGUGGCGAAGGCGGCCUUCUGGACUGACACUGACACUGAGGUGCGAAAGCGUGGGUAGCAAACAGGAUUAGAUACCCCAGUAGUC
This 465-nucleotide ribosomal RNA is filed under the name Vreelandella stevensii. Its description in RNAcentral is "partial 16S ribosomal RNA". It matches the Rfam family "Bacterial small subunit ribosomal RNA", at positions 338 to 795 of the family's 1533-position model. Lineage: Bacteria; Pseudomonadati; Pseudomonadota; Gammaproteobacteria; Oceanospirillales; Halomonadaceae. The record is from RNAcentral.